AGCCUGAUCCAGCCAUGCCGCGUGUGAUGAAGAAGGCCUUUCGGGUUGUAAAGGACUGCCUGUCAGGGAGGAAAUUCCUAGCGCUAAUAUCGCUGGGGGAUGACAGUACCUGAAGAAUAAGCACCGGCUAACUACGUGCCAGCAGCCGCGGUAAUACGUAGGGUGCAAGCGUUAAUCGGAAUUACUGGGCGUAAAGCGUGCGCAGGCGGUUGUGUAAGUCGGAUGUGAAAGCCCCGGGCUUAACCUGGGAACUGCAUUGGAGACUGCACGGCUAGAGUGCGUCAGACGGGGGUAGAAUUCCGUGUGUAGCAUUGAAAUGCGUAUAGAUGCCGAGGAAUACCGAUGGCGAAGGCAGCCCCCUGGGAUGACACUGACGCUCAUGCACGAAAGCGUGGGGAGCAAACAGGAUUACAUACCCUGGUAGUCCACACCCUACCCUAUGUGGACUAGCUCUUGCGGGUU
RNAcentral lists this ribosomal RNA (462 nucleotides) under Aquitalea sp. RNAcentral's name for it is "bacterial SSU rRNA". It matches the Rfam family "Bacterial small subunit ribosomal RNA", at positions 380 to 831 of the family's 1533-position model. Lineage: Bacteria; Pseudomonadati; Pseudomonadota; Betaproteobacteria; Neisseriales; Chromobacteriaceae. The record is from RNAcentral.